RNAcentral lists this long non-coding RNA (201 nucleotides) under Elaeis guineensis (African oil palm). RNAcentral's name for it is "long non-coding RNA (EGUI_LNC015816)". Lineage: Eukaryota; Viridiplantae; Streptophyta; Magnoliopsida; Arecales; Arecaceae. The record is from RNAcentral.
UGAUUGGACUUUUCCAAUAGGAAAGAAUAAUGUGCACAGCUAGACAGAAGGAAAUGGUCCAAAUCAGCAACCUAAAAUGGUUGCAGACUUGCAGUGCACCAACAAAGAAGACAUAAAUGCUCGCUUGAAAACGUCAAACGAGACAUGGUUUGAUUGGCGAAGUGGGCGCAAUCGAACAGCUCUUAAAAGAAAUAGGACGCC